RNAcentral lists this ribosomal RNA (2902 nucleotides) under Escherichia coli. RNAcentral's name for it is "bacterial LSU rRNA". It matches the Rfam family "Bacterial large subunit ribosomal RNA". The record is from RNAcentral. Lineage: Bacteria; Pseudomonadati; Pseudomonadota; Gammaproteobacteria; Enterobacterales; Enterobacteriaceae.
UUAAGCGACUAAGCGUACACGGUGGAUGCCCUGGCAGUCAGAGGCGAUGAAGGACGUGCUAAUCUGCGAUAAGCGUCGGUAAGGUGAUAUGAACCGUUAUAACCGGCGAUUUCCGAAUGGGGAAACCCAGUGUGAUUCGUCACACUAUCAUUAACUGAAUCCAUAGGUUAAUGAGGCGAACCGGGGGAACUGAAACAUCUAAGUACCCCGAGGAAAAGAAAUCAACCGAGAUUCCCCCAGUAGCGGCGAGCGAACGGGGAGGAGCCCAGAGCCUGAAUCAGUGUGUGUGUUAGUGGAAGCGUCUGGAAAGGCGCGCGAUACAGGGUGACAGCCCCGUACACAAAAAUGCACAUGCUGUGAGCUCGAUGAGUAGGGCGGGACACGUGGUAUCCUGUCUGAAUAUGGGGGGACCAUCCUCCAAGGCUAAAUACUCCUGACUGACCGAUAGUGAACCAGUACCGUGAGGGAAAGGCGAAAAGAACCCCGGCGAGGGGAGUGAAAAAGAACCUGAAACCGUGUACGUACAAGCAGUGGGAGCCUCUUAAUGGGGUGACUGCGUACCUUUUGUAUAAUGGGUCAGCGACUUAUAUUCUGUAGCAAGGUUAACCGAAUAGGGGAGCCGAAGGGAAACCGAGUCUUAACUGGGCGUUAAGUUGCAGGGUAUAGACCCGAAACCCGGUGAUCUAGCCAUGGGCAGGUUGAAGGUUGGGUAACACUAACUGGAGGACCGAACCGACUAAUGUUGAAAAAUUAGCGGAUGACUUGUGGCUGGGGGUGAAAGGCCAAUCAAACCGGGAGAUAGCUGGUUCUCCCCGAAAGCUAUUUAGGUAGCGCCUCGUGAAUUCAUCUCCGGGGGUAGAGCACUGUUUCGGCAAGGGGGUCAUCCCGACUUACCAACCCGAUGCAAACUGCGAAUACCGGAGAAUGUUAUCACGGGAGACACACGGCGGGUGCUAACGUCCGUCGUGAAGAGGGAAACAACCCAGACCGCCAGCUAAGGUCCCAAAGUCAUGGUUAAGUGGGAAACGAUGUGGGAAGGCCCAGACAGCCAGGAUGUUGGCUUAGAAGCAGCCAUCAUUUAAAGAAAGCGUAAUAGCUCACUGGUCGAGUCGGCCUGCGCGGAAGAUGUAACGGGGCUAAACCAUGCACCGAAGCUGCGGCAGCGACACUAUGUGUUGUUGGGUAGGGGAGCGUUCUGUAAGCCUGUGAAGGUGGCCUGUGAGGGUUGCUGGAGGUAUCAGAAGUGCGAAUGCUGACAUAAGUAACGAUAAAGCGGGUGAAAAGCCCGCUCGCCGGAAGACCAAGGGUUCCUGUCCAACGUUAAUCGGGGCAGGGUGAGUCGACCCCUAAGGCGAGGCCGAAAGGCGUAGUCGAUGGGAAACAGGUUAAUAUUCCUGUACUUGGUGUUACUGCGAAGGGGGGACGGAGAAGGCUAUGUUGGCCGGGCGACGGUUGUCCCGGUUUAAGCGUGUAGGCUGGUUUUCCAGGCAAAUCCGGAAAAUCAAGGCUGAGGCGUGAUGACGAGGCACUACGGUGCUGAAGCGACAAAUGCCCUGCUUCCAGGAAAAGCCUCUAAGCAUCAGGUAACAUUAAAUCGUACCCCAAACCGACACAGGUGGUCAGGUAGAGAAUACCAAGGCGCUUGAGAGAACUCGGGUGAAGGAACUAGGCAAAAUGGUGCCGUAACUUCGGGAGAAGGCACGCUGAUAUGUAGGUGAAGCGACUUGCUCGUGGAGCUGAAAUCAGUCGAAGAUACCAGCUGGCUGCAACUGUUUAUUAAAAACACAGCACUGUGCAAACACGAAAGUGGACGUAUACGGUGUGACGCCUGCCCGGUGCCGGAAGGUUAAUUGAUGGGGUUAGCGGCAACGCGAAGCUCUUGAUCGAAGCCCCGGUAAACGGCGGCCGUAACUAUAACGGUCCUAAGGUAGCGAAAUUCCUUGUCGGGUAAGUUCCGACCUGCACGAAUGGCGUAAUGAUGGCCAGGCUGUCUCCACCCGAGACUCAGUGAAAUUGAACUCGCUGUGAAGAUGCAGUGUACCCGCGGCAAGACGGAAAGACCCCGUGAACCUUUACUAUAGCUUGACACUGAACAUUGAGCCUUGAUGUGUAGGAUAGGUGGGAGGCUUUGAAGUGUGGACGCCAGUCUGCAUGGAGCCGACCUUGAAAUACCACCCUUUAAUGUUUGAUGUUCUAACGUGGGCCCGUAAUCCGGGUUGCGGACAGUGUCUGGUGGGUAGUUUGACUGGGGCGGUCUCCUCCUAAAGAGUAACGGAGGAGCACGAAGGUUGGCUAAUCCUGGUCGGACAUCAGGAGGUUAGUGCAAUGGCAUAAGCCAGCUUGACUGCGAGCGUGACGGCGCGAGCAGGUGCGAAAGCAGGUCAUAGUGAUCCGGUGGUUCUGAAUGGAAGGGCCAUCGCUCAACGGAUAAAAGGUACUCCGGGGAUAACAGGCUGAUACCGCCCAAGAGUUCAUAUCGACGGCGGUGUUUGGCACCUCGAUGUCGGCUCAUCACAUCCUGGGGCUGAAGUAGGUCCCAAGGGUAUGGCUGUUCGCCAUUUAAAGUGGUACGCGAGCUGGGUUUAGAACGUCGUGAGACAGUUCGGUCCCUAUCUGCCGUGGGCGCUGGAGAACUGAGGGGGGCUGCUCCUAGUACGAGAGGACCGGAGUGGACGCAUCACUGGUGUUCGGGUUGUCAUGCCAAUGGCACUGCCCGGUAGCUAAAUGCGGAAGAGAUAAGUGCUGAAAGCAUCUAAGCACGAAACUUGCCCCGAGAUGAGUUCUCCCUGACCCUUUAAGGGUCCUGAAGGAACGUUGAAGACGACGACGUUGAUAGGCCGGGUGUGUAAGCGCAGCGAUGCGUUGAGCUAACCGGUACUAAUGAACCGUGAGGCUUAACCUU